CGUCCACCGGGGCUCCGCUCCCCUCAGAGACAGGGCUAGGAGGGUCCCCCGCGCUGGCCACUUUCGGGGUCUGCCGCCGCRCCCCCGCCGCAGGGCCGCCGAGAGGCCCCGGGGCUCUGCAGGCCCCCGCGCCCCGUCCGGGGGGUCCCCACUGUGAUGGCGGCCGCUGCGCGGUCCCCGUGGUGAGGGAGCUCCACCCCCCUUGUGAUGGCGCCCGUUGCCGCGGUGCCGCCAUUAGGCCUCCCCCGGCAGCGGCGGCAGCGAAGGACGAGGCAGGGCGGCGACCGGGGUGGCCGCGGAGGGGACGAGGCGCAGGCUGCCAGGCCCCGACGACGCGCCGGCCGGCGGCCAUGGCAGAGGAAUCGGAAGCGCAGCUCUGGAUUGGAAACUCAGCCGGUGCCAUUCCUGUUUCAUGCUAUUGGAAGGAGGCAGCGUUGCUAUCUCUCUGGCAGGUGUCAAGGGCUUUCUGUGAGGAAGACCUGCAAAACCAAGGCUCUGACCACAGCUCCUUGGUGGCUCUGCCCUGACUCUGACGGGGCAAAGCAGCCUCUCAGGAGGUCGCAGUGCA
This 568-nucleotide long non-coding RNA is filed under the name Apteryx rowi (Okarito brown kiwi). Its description in RNAcentral is "lncRNA (ENSARWG00000004759.1)". The record is from RNAcentral. Lineage: Eukaryota; Metazoa; Chordata; Aves; Apterygiformes; Apterygidae.